GGACUGUGCUGGAGAGUACCAAGCAAAGUUUUCCAAGGCAGGCUGCUCAACUCCCAGGAUGAGAGGACUCACUGCCUUGGAAUUACAGCUGGGAAAUGCUUCUGGAAAAACAGAAGAUGUGCUGGAGGAAGAUAGUGUUGUCUCUCUGGCCUGGCAGGUUAGGUCACAGCUGGAAUUAACCAUGAGGUAUUUAACACCAGAGUGGAAGGGAAGGAUGAAACACCAGGGAAGGGAACAGCUUGAAAACUGGUGAGAC
Molecule: non-coding RNA, 256 nt
Organism: Sturnus vulgaris (Common starling)
Lineage: Eukaryota; Metazoa; Chordata; Aves; Passeriformes; Sturnidae
Source: RefSeq, a predicted model, not a curated record